Molecule: ribosomal RNA, 139 nt
Filed under: Amanita sp. 'longicuneus'
Lineage: Eukaryota; Fungi; Basidiomycota; Agaricomycetes; Agaricales; Amanitaceae
Description: partial 28S ribosomal RNA
Rfam family: Eukaryotic large subunit ribosomal RNA
Source: RNAcentral
UUGACCUCAAAUCAGGUAGGACUACCCGCUGAACUUAAGCAUAUCAAUAAGCGGAGGAAAAGAAACUAACAAGGAUUCCCCUAGUAACUGCGAGUGAAGCGGGAAAAGCUCAAAUUUGAAAUCUGGCAGUCUUUUUUUU